UAUAUAUAUAUAUAUAUAUAUAGAGAGAGAGAGAGAGAGAGAGAGAGAGAGAGUCCGGCUAUGGUGCUUGUAAAAGCACCAAGUACUUGGUACUUGUAAGUUUUUUACCGUUAGAUCUACUUCUUUGAUCAUUUUCAACCGUUAGAUUAUACUAUUCAACCAACUACCCACUCAUUCCUAGGGGGCCCACAUCAUCAUAACCGCACAUAACUUAAUCCAAGGGCCGAAAACUUAUAAGUACCAAUGACUUGGUACUUUUAAAAGCAUAGGAGCUCAAUUAUAU
RNAcentral lists this long non-coding RNA (283 nucleotides) under Ananas comosus (pineapple). RNAcentral describes it as "long non-coding RNA (ACOM_LNC032412)". Lineage: Eukaryota; Viridiplantae; Streptophyta; Magnoliopsida; Poales; Bromeliaceae. The record is from RNAcentral.